RNAcentral lists this ribosomal RNA (258 nucleotides) under uncultured bacterium. Its description in RNAcentral is "partial 16S ribosomal RNA". It matches the Rfam family "Bacterial small subunit ribosomal RNA", at positions 1075 to 1333 of the family's 1533-position model. The record is from RNAcentral.
UUGGGUUAAGUCCCGCAACGAGCGCAACCCCUAUCUUAUGUUGCCACCACUUUGGGUGGGAACUCAUGAGAGACUGCCGCAGACAAAGCGGAGGAAGGCGGGGAUGACGUCAAAUCAUCAUGCCCCUUAUGACCUGGGCUACACACGUACUACAAUGGGAGUUAAUAGACGGAAGCGAGAUCGCGAGAUGGAGCAAACCCGAGAAACACUCUCUCAGUUCGGAUCGUAGGCUGCAACUCGCCUACGGAAGUCGGAAUC